RNAcentral lists this ribosomal RNA (854 nucleotides) under uncultured archaeon. RNAcentral describes it as "bacterial SSU rRNA". It matches the Rfam family "Archaeal small subunit ribosomal RNA", at positions 39 to 899 of the family's 1478-position model. The record is from RNAcentral.
UGAUAUUAAGCCAUGCGAGUCAUUGUAGCAAUACAAGGCAUACGGCUCAGUAACGCGUAGUCAACCUAACCUAUGGACGGGAAUAACCUCGGGAAACUGAGAAUAAUGCCCGAUAGAACAUUAUGCCUGGAAUGGUUUAUGUUCCAAAUGAUUUAUCGCCGUAGGAUGGGACUGCGGCCUAUCAGUUUGUUGGUGAGGUAAUGGCCCACCAAGACUAUUACAGGUACGGGCUCUGAGAGGAGUAGCCCGGAGAUGGGUACUGAGACACGGACCCAGGCCCUAUGGGGCGCAGCAGGCGAGAAAACUUUGCAAUGUGCGAAAGCACGACAAGGUUAAUCCGAGUGGUUUCUGCUAAAGGAACCUUUUGUCAGUCCUAGAAACACUGAUGAAUAAGGGGUGGGCAAGUUCUGGUGCCAGCCGCCGCGGUAAAACCAGCACCUCAAGUGGUCAGGAUGAUUAUUGGGCCUAAAGCAUCCGUAGCCGGCUCUGUAAGUUUUCGGUUAAAUCUGUACGCUCAACGUACAGGCUGCCGGGAAUACUGCAAAGCUAGGGAGUGGGAGAGGUAGACGGUACUCGGUAGGAAGGGGUAAAAUCCUUUGAUCUAUUGAUGACCACCUGUGGCGAAGGCGGUCUACCAGAACACGUCCGACGGUGAGGGAUGAAAGCUGGGGGAGCAAACCGGAUUAGAUACCCGGGUAGUCCCAGCUGUAAACCAUGCAAACUCAGUGAUGCAUUGGCUUGUGGCCAAUGCAGUGCUGCAGGGAAGCCGUUAAGUUUGCCGCCUGGGAAGUACGUACGCAAGUAUGAAACUUAAAGGAAUUGGCGGGGGAGCACCACAAGGGGUGAAGCCUGCG